This 519-nucleotide transfer RNA is filed under the name uncultured Prochlorococcus sp. Its description in RNAcentral is "partial 16S-23S ribosomal RNA intergenic spacer". The stretch from base 209 to 281 matches the Rfam family "tRNA". Lineage: Bacteria; Bacillati; Cyanobacteriota; Cyanophyceae; Synechococcales; Prochlorococcaceae. The record is from RNAcentral.
CAGGGAGACAACAAAAUGUUUAAUAUUAUUUUGUCACCUUAGGUCGAUCGGUAUCUCACAUUCUUAAUUUAUUAAGGAUUUUAUUUCCUAAGUUUUUCUAGGUCACACCCAUUAUUUUUCCUGGGCCAUUAGCUCAGGUGGUUAGAGCGCACCCCUGAUAAGGGUGAGGUCCCUGGUUCAAGUCCAGGAUGGCCCAUAUCUCUAUGUUGGGGGUAUAGCUCAGUUGGUAGAGCGCCUGCUUUGCAAGCAGGAUGUCAGCGGUUCGAGUCCGCUUACCUCCACUGAUUACCACCUCUUCCAUAAUUUAAAGGAAAAUUAUGAGUUGUGAUCAAAUUCUGAACGAAUCUAGCCUCUUAAUGAGAUCAUUAGGAUGCUGGACUCAUUGAAUUAAUUUCAUUGUUUUCAGAGAACCUUGACAACUGCAUAGAUUAUUUUUAAAGACAAUAAGCAUCUUUAUUGAUGCAGAUUUAUUAUUUGUGCGAAUGCAUUAAUAACAAUUCUAUUAAGCUGAUGCUUCAA